GAGAAUAGAAUGCCAAGACAGAAAUGAAAGCUAUAGAAAAAGAUCACCCAGUCCUGUUCCUUCAGUUACAAGUGAGAACAAUGAGACUGGAGAAUCUCCUCAUUGCACCCACAUUUAGUGGAAAAGCAGGAACCCAGGCCUCCUAACUGUCCUGUCUUGAUUUGUACUGGGAAUUAGGUCACCAAAAAGUAAUCUCCAUCAAGGCCACCUUCGAAAGUCUACUCACAAACUUAAUUGUGUUUCCCCUUCAGGUGUCUGAUUCCACUCUCCCUAUGAGAAGUUCCACGUUCCCUUUCACUCCUGGCUCCCAUUUCCCAUAUAUCUGUAAAAGUGAAGAUCUGCUCUAGGAUAGGCUGCAAGCUGCCACGGUGGAGAGACCAACAUGGCAAAGACCUGAGGGUAGCCUCUGGUUAAAUGCCGUGAGAAACGGAGGCCCUCAGUCUAGUGGCCUGUGAAUGCUCGAGUCCUGCCGCUAACCGCUCUCUAAGUCUGGAAGCAGAUGCGGCCCCUUGGAACCGUGAGAUGACUCGCUGCAGUGGACACCUGGAGGGCAGCCUGUGAGAGAACCUGAAACAGGAGACCCAGCCAAGCCUUUCUCAGACUCCUGAUCCACAAAACAUGGAAAACCAUAGAAAUGAUAAAUAAUAAAUGUUCAUUGCUUCAA
Long non-coding RNA from Phyllostomus discolor (pale spear-nosed bat), 664 nucleotides. RefSeq lists it as uncharacterized. The record is from RefSeq and is a predicted model, not a curated record. The transcript has 2 exons. Lineage: Eukaryota; Metazoa; Chordata; Mammalia; Chiroptera; Phyllostomidae.